This 253-nucleotide ribosomal RNA is filed under the name uncultured bacterium. RNAcentral's name for it is "partial 16S ribosomal RNA". It matches the Rfam family "Bacterial small subunit ribosomal RNA", at positions 524 to 776 of the family's 1533-position model. The record is from RNAcentral.
UACGGGGGGGGCAAGCGUUGUUCGGAAUUACUGGGCGUAAAGGGCUCGUAGGCGGCCAACUAAGUCAGACGUGAAAUCCCUCGGCUUAACCGGGGAACUGCGUCUGAUACUGGAUGGCUUGAGUUUGGGAGAGGGGUGCGGAAUUCCAGGUGUAGCGGUGAAAUGCGUAGAUAUCUGGAGGAACACCGGUGGCGAAGGCGGCAUCCUGGACCGGUAUUGACACUGAGGCGCGAAAGCCAGGGGAGCAAACGGG